AUUGAGUUGGAUCACGGCGGAGAAGAGUUGAACGUCACGUCUUCACCAUUCAACACCGGUUUCAAUUAGUGGAGAAGAGGAAUAAUGAACAGUUUCAAGUGGCUUUUUUGGUGAUCCUUUUUCCGUCGGAUCUGAAGGAACCAGAACACGCUGCGACGAAAAAGUAGCAAUUGACGGUUCUUCAUUACAAGAUUCAGGUUGGACUUUUGGAGAGGAUAUUCCGGUUAUCUCUUAUCAGUUGAGGUCAAGUAUACGGUGGUUAUUGAUAAACGAAGUGUCAGGGAAGGCGCUGGAGCCUUCAAAGUCACUAGAAAAGAUUGUUUCAAGCCAUUUUAAGCAGUUCUCUUCCAGUUCUCAGUCCAUUCCAGAUUCAGAAUUAUGCGCCGGCUACCAACUCUGGCCAUUGAUCGUUCUCUAUGCCUCAGACUCUACACAUGAUCGAACACGGAGCUUCUUUGCCCGCUAUGAUCCACACAAGAGGCAUGGUGACCAUCCAAACUCAUCAACUACUCUAACUAGAUAUACAAGUAAGGAGUCAUCUCUCAUAUAUUCAAGCUUUGGGAAACAAGCGUUAUAGCAAGAGACACCAACUGUGGUACGUAUAGUGCAAGGUACAAUUUUAUUUAUUUUGACUUCGGCAUUGCUU
Capsella rubella is the source of this 646-nucleotide long non-coding RNA. RefSeq lists it as uncharacterized. NCBI's taxonomy places the organism in Eukaryota, Viridiplantae, Streptophyta, Magnoliopsida, Brassicales, Brassicaceae. The record is from RefSeq and is a predicted model, not a curated record. The transcript is spliced from 5 exons.